RNAcentral lists this unclassified non-coding RNA (502 nucleotides) under Hevea brasiliensis (rubber tree). Lineage: Eukaryota; Viridiplantae; Streptophyta; Magnoliopsida; Malpighiales; Euphorbiaceae. The record is from RNAcentral.
AAUUUCAAUCCUCAUCCAUCUAUCCAUCAACUUAUCUACACAACCAUGAAUUCUUUCUCAUGACCAGCAUCAAUUUGUAACCCAUAUUUGUAAUUCCAAAGUAUAAUCCAAAAAUCAAGAAGUCAGUAUCAGCCUUCCAAAGGGGUUUCCUUUUUUCAAUAAAUUGACUGAAGCAAAUCCUUCUCUACUUGGUCUGCAUUUAGAGAGAAAAUAUCAACAGGAGCAGUGGUGCAGCCAAUGACAUUCUGCUUCAAUCCACCACUUGAGGGGCCUUUCUGGUGAUCUAGAUAAAUUACUAUCACAGUAAUAUCAUCAUGAAAGUGACGUCUUACUCCCCUGUCAAUUUUCUUUAUAUCAUCAUAUCUCAUUUCUCUUUUCUUUGCGACCUCCUGAAGAGCAGCUCUCACCAAUCUCUUAGCGAUCCCAGCUCUUGGAUACUUGAAAACAAUCUCUACGGCUGCUUCAUCACUCAGCUGUUCCCAAAGACCAUCUGAAGCAAAGA